UACGAAGGAGGCUAGCGUUGCUCGGAAUCACUGGGCGUAAAGCGCACGUAGGCGGGUUCUUAAGUCAGGGGUGAAAUCCUGGAGCUCAACUCCAGAACUGCCUUUGAUACUGGGAAUCUCGAGUCCGGGAGAGGUGAGUGGAACUGCGAGUGUAGAGGUGAAAUUCGUAGAUAUUCGCAAGAACACCAGUGGCGAAGGCGGCUCACUGGCCCGGUACUGACGCUGAGGUGCGAAAGCGUGGGGAGCAAACAGG
Molecule: ribosomal RNA, 253 nt
Filed under: uncultured bacterium
Lineage: Bacteria
Description: partial 16S ribosomal RNA
Rfam family: Bacterial small subunit ribosomal RNA
Source: RNAcentral